This is a long non-coding RNA of Anas platyrhynchos (mallard), 2610 nucleotides long. RefSeq lists it as uncharacterized. The record is from RefSeq and is a predicted model, not a curated record. NCBI's taxonomy places the organism in Eukaryota, Metazoa, Chordata, Aves, Anseriformes, Anatidae.
GGAGAAUGCUGGGUUCCUCCCCUUCCCUCAGGGAUCUGGCUUUGCAGUAGCUGUAUGGAGGUCUUGAUAUUUAGGUCUGGCAGAUGGUCUUACUCUGUAAGAAAGCUUUUUGUUUUGUAUUUAGUGCUAGCUGUAUAGAAAUCCUUCUGAGUGGUUUUGUUUCACGUAGGAAUAUCACACUCAUGCUUUACCUAAUAUGAAGACUUUUAUGUGUGAUGUUUGUACAAGAGCUCUUUUUGCAUUCACUCAGGACAUUUCUCUGCAGUUUGCUUCCUGCAUGCUUCAGCCUUGAUUCAUCCUAGGUGAGCUGUGCUGCCAUUGAGACAAAUCGAUAGACUUACCACUAAAGGAGGAAAUCACUUUGUGCUUGGAAUGACUGUUGAAGGUGGUCAUCUACUGAAGAUUUUUUCAUUUUGGGACUUGAUCCAAAUCUCUAACAACUGCUUUAUUUAUUGUGCAGAAAGACAUUUCUCUUAUAUUCUCCUUUACUUAGGGCUCACUUCAAUUUCUUAGCUGAAAUUGAUAGGGUACUACAGGAUGUCACUGACCAGAUAGACAGAGGCAAACACAUCAGGUGUGUGUUAUGUUUGUGACAGUCAGCAGCAGGGUGACACGUCAGUCUGAAAUCAUGAGAAGCACUGGCACUAUCAACAGUCUGAAACAGCCUCCUACUCAAAGGCUAGGUGGUGUGUGCGAGGGCUCCUUUGUCCCUGUCAGCAGUCAACACCAACAAAGAGGGCACUGCACUUUGCAACAGACACAAAAGUCUUCCACUCAUAAGCAUGGGAGGUGAAGAGUGACAGCAGGGGAAGGCACUUCACAGCUGGAGGAUGGGCCAAAGGGCAGAGCUGGAAGGUAAGAGGAGUCAAGAGAUGAAAGACUGGAAUCUGACUGUUGAAGGCUUUCAGGUGUUUUAUGCUCUGAGGGGACUGGUCUCAAUCAAAAACAUUACAAAAGCCGAUUAGUAGAUUGCACGUGCUUUCUGGAAAGUUAUGAAAGCCUGGUGAAGGAAGAGGAGAGGGAAUGGGGACCUGCAGCUUCAUUCCAUAGGGAAGGAGACACAAAAACAAGCUCAACCUAUGAGGCUAAAUGUAGAUAAACAUACCCUGAUAACAGCUGCUCAGGGGACAGAAGUCAAACUGCGUGCACAAAGCUUUCUGUAUGCAUGAGAGAACACAUCUUUGGGUGAAGAUGCAGCAGGAAAAGAAAUAGAACAAGAAGUCAUAGUCAGAAGGACACUGAAGUCAGGGGUACAGUCACAGAAAAUAACUCUGAAAACUCUGCAGCAGACAGUUAAAAUAUCUCUGUGACUAGAGAAUAGGCUCAGAAAUUAACCCAAAUUGCAGUGUCAUUACGGAGUUUUGUAGACGAUGUGCUGCUGAGCUGAAUGCAGCUGCAGAGGCAUGCAGCACCUCUCUUCCCUUUGUCCUUCCCUCUUCGGCAAAAGGCUGACCUACAUUCCAGUGGCUCCCACUCAGGUGAUCCUGCAGUUCGUGGGGGAAGCUGCCCAGGGAGCGCGGCCCAGCCCAGCACAUCCUGCCCCAGCAGACACUGCCAGCCUGUGCUGGGAGCGGCUUUGCUGACAGCUCCUCAAUAAAUAAUGAAAGUAGAGGUCAUAUGCGAAGCUCCUAGAGCCUGGGCUCAGGUGUUCCUGGCAGGCCUAGAUACACAUGUGAACUGUGUCAAUUCUGCAAGAGCAUCAGGAUCCACAUUAAAGCCUCUGAAAUGAUAAUACAUUAAGAUAUGGUGCACUCCUGUACUCUUCUCUUGAAAAUGUCUCCUGACAUUUUCUCUUGAAGUGGCUUACUGUCAUUGCUAAUGAAGAUUUCUCGCAACAGAUCAGUUACAUGGAUUUUCCAGAAAAUAAUCAAUGACAAAAUGCUUUUUUAAUGACCUAAAAGCUGAUAAAUAUCAGAACAACUCUUCAUGGUGGCUGCUUUGCUAGGACACAAAGAGUGUCCAGAGAUCUCACAAGACUAUAGUAAGGGUUUUUCCUGAGACAAGACUAAGGGAAGAUUUAUAGCAACACCUGUAAUAUACCCAAGCCCAUACCUUCUCCGGAGCUCCCUCUGAAAGUCAAAUGCUUUAGGAAGAAGAAAGUACCUGAACGAAGAUGAUCUGUUCAAUCAUAAUACAAUCUGUUCAUGAACAUACAUUACAUACAGUCCAUAAUUGCAUGUACAUUUGCAUUCAAAUGAUUACAUUUCAAGUAAAUUUUAAGCAACAGCAAAGGUCUUAAAAUAAGGUUUGUUAGGCAAUUGACCCCAAGUAGCAUGGAAUGCAUCAAACCUGCCAAUGACUUCUAGAGAUGUUUUUGAGUCAGUCAGAGGAGGUGUUGAUUAAACACUAACGCACCCUUAGAAAUAACACAGCAAUGAGGGGUGCAUAAUGCCCUGAAUGUACACAAUGCUGCUGCUCAGGAAGUAAAAGACAUCAGCCAAAACACAAAAGGAUAUUUUCUGUUCCAAACUGCUUGUGAACUGAGAGAGAAAGCAACACAAAAUGAGGAAAACAGCAAACACCUAAAAUUCAGCAUGGACAUACUAUUCCUGUCUCUACCUUUAUGCAUAUGCAUGACCACAGAGAAGUGGCACUUACCAUGCUCAUCCA